Molecule: ribosomal RNA, 253 nt
Filed under: uncultured bacterium
Lineage: Bacteria
Description: partial 16S ribosomal RNA
Rfam family: Bacterial small subunit ribosomal RNA
Source: RNAcentral
UACAGAGGGGGCAAGCGUUAUUCGGAAUUAUUGGGCGUAAAGGGCGCGUAGGCGGCUUGGCAAGUGGAAGGUGAAAUCCCUCGGCUUAACCGAGGAACUGCCCUCCAAACUGCUUCGCUUGAGACCGGGAGAGGUGAGUGGAAUUCCCAGUGUAGCGGUGAAAUGCGUAGAUAUUGGGAGGAACACCAGUGGCGAAGGCGGCUCACUGGACCGGUACUGACGCUGAUGCGUGAAAGCGUGGGGAGCAAACGGG